AGUAAGUGUUUGGGGUUUUUAAAAACAAGUUGAGCUUCAAGGAAAAAAAAAUGCUUUGGUGUUACUGUGUAUUUAACGUGAUUUUUCUUCUGUUGUGUUUAAGUACACCUUGAUUACUUUAGCACUUUUUGCAAAUAUGACUAGGCUUUUACUGUAGGUUUUAUGACAAUGUAAUAUUUGUUUCCUCCUUUGUCAGACAGUGCUUCCAAGUGCAGACCAUCAAAAUACAGUAGUAAACCAGUUUGGACCCUCUGCUUUCUGUCCUGAUAUCAUAAAUAUACCAAGCUCCUCAAAUACACUUCUGCUAUCACCUUACUCUGGUUUCACUUUAGCACAUGUCUUAGACUAUACAGGUGCCAGGAGAGAUCUGAUCAGACCCUUGGUUACUGCUGUGAUCUCUUCUUACGAAGUCAUGCUGGUCUCCACGGAAAAUGAAAAUCCAGCAACUGCAAAUAGUUCAGGAGAACAGAAACAGAGCAGAAAUACUUAUGGAAUGCACAGUUCCUAAAGUUGAGAGAAGAAACAUCAAAUGAGAACUACAAGCCACAUGGAGAACUGAAACAGAUAAAAGGACUACUUUAACAGCAUUUUAAAGCAGCUCCACUGGCACUCUCAUCAAGCCAAAAUACAACUGCUCUGCACAACUGGGACAAAAUGGUAACAGAAAGCAUAUAAACACACUGAAUAGAGACCAGAAGUUCCAGACUGAUCCUUUGCAUCUACACCACAGUAUAGUGUUUCACUGCGGUACAGCGCUACAACAAACACGAAGCCAAACAGUAUUACAGUGUUUUUGAGAAAUAAAAAUUAAUUGGAUAACCUUAUAUCUGUAUCUAAUUGGGAUGACUGUAUGGGAAAGCUAAGUCAAAUCCUGAAAGAAGGUCAGCAGCUAGUCAAGUUUUCACUCCUUCCCAUCUUCUCAGUUAAACUUUGCCUUCUCAGCCACAACAAAGAAGUGGUAAUUUCCUCCAAAGAGACGAUUCUGCUGUAUGACUCAAGAUCCUCUGCAUCUACUUCUGCUUCUAGAAAUGUCAUUCAUGGCUCUGUAUCGAGCCUUCUUGAAUGAAAGGAAGGAAGAAGGAAAAGAAGAUAUUUUGUGGUUUUGUAUAAUGCCACAUCAAAAUAUUUUCAUUGUGAAAUGUACCAGUCUUCACACAGCACUCUUGUCUUGUGGUUGGGUUUUUUUCUGAGUUUCAUGUGUUGCACCGAUGGUAUCUAAGCAGACAAUAAUGCAACAGUCAUCUGCCAUAUAAGGAGAAUCAAAUUGUACUCAGUAUUAUUUUAAAAAUAACAAUGCAAUUUCAUCUUAUUACAUGAAGCAUCAUACAAUAAGAGACAGAAAAAUGUAGCCUAAUUAAAACCAGUCUUGCAAAAUCAUGCCAUUGCCAGCACAGAAAAAUCCACUUAAUCUUCAGUCACGUGAAUGUUUUUGUUUUACUGCUUUCAGCCAUAAACAGAAGCAUUUCAAACAGGAUGGAGAAACAUGUAUUGGUGGUGAGAAGACUUCUUAUGUUUUACCCAAAUAAAGCCAAGAUCGAAUGAAAGAGUUGGGGUUUUUUUGUCUUUACAAAAAAAAAAAAAAAAAAAAAAAAAGGACAGUAAGAACAGUCUGAUGUUUCUGUUCUGAAGAACCUUCGUAACAGCCAUUUUUAGAUACUCCUCCUGACUCGCUGGCAAUGGCUCCCUUCGUGAGCUGCUACAACUUCUGUGCACGCAGUGCUACAACUAUACGCAGACCGGGGAAUUAAAUACGCUGGGGGGAAAGGAAGGAGACAGACCAGUUCCAAGUAAUAAUACCAGAUAAAGACAACAAGAGCUUGUUACUCAAUCUGUCAUGCCUGAGCGGGAAUCCCAGAAGCGCACAGAAAGAUUUGUGGGCUUCAGUCAGUCCUAGCAACUUUCUCUUUCCAUGGAGUCCAGGCAGGAGUGUCUCUGGUUCGUCACAGCCUGUGCCAGGAGCAACAAGGGGAGGAGAGGCUCCCAGCUAAACUGUGCCCAGGAGGAACAGCGCAGCUCCCUUCUUCUAAGAUGCAGCCAGCAAUGAAGCAGCAGCUCCUACAGCAUCUGCAUCCCUCUCAAGGCAGAACUUCUGGACUUCAUCUCUCAGGGGGGACUAUUAGCAAUCAGUCCUCCUCCACUCCAGACAAUGCUGUAAUCUAAGGGUCUAUUUUGGAGACUCAAGAUCCUUCCACUCUCUCAGCUGGAAGCUCUUCCUUCCCCAAUCCGCUGAGAACAGCCUGCCUGGGUACCUCUCCUAGCAGCAGGCAGCACCUUUCCUCUCUCUAUAAGCAAGGGAAGGACACAGUUACGUUUUCACACAGAGAAUUUCUGAGAACACUGCAUUAACAUUCAGAAUUCUUACUUUAAUAAUUCAUGACUAACCAAACACUUUGGUAACAUCCUAUUCUGCACACUAGCUGCAGUCUUCUUUGUUUCUUAUUCACCACUAACUGUUUCUCAGGGCUCUCUUCAGGUUCUUUUAGCAACAGCUGAAACCCUUGCAGAAACAUGUCAAACCAAGACUGCCACCUGGCAGUGGCUUUUGCCUCGCUCUUUUGAAAUGGAGGGUACCUGCAAGAACAAAUAAGGUAGCACUACUGUUUAACCAGGCUGAACUAAUUCUGCUCCCCAGAACAGCCAGCAAUUUGGCUUAGAUUACAAUUUUACCACCUCUUACAUUCAAUUUUUGCAGCCAUAAGAAAAUAUUGCUUAAAAGGGGAUUUUAAUAAAAACAGAAAAUAGACUUUUACCUCUCAUAAAUUUGGGAAUCUAGUAUUUUGUACUGUUGCAUAGAACAAGAAUCUGCAAACAACUACAUUAAGAAGAUGCAGAGGAAUGAUCAGACUCUUCCAAGUACAACUUUGGUAUCAGUGUGUGAUGUGAUAGGGGAUUCUGUAGUAUUUUUUCCCAUAGCUGUUUUGCAGCUUUGGAAGCACUGCCCUAUUAUCAGUGCUAAUAUGCGCUGCUAUGAAAAGGUUUCGUGCUCUUACAGGAGUCUUGCUCUUUAAGUGAAGCAUUACUCAACUCUUCUGUUUUAGUUUCUUGAUUAUAGGCAAGAAUAUUUGUACGGAUCAAAAAAAGCUUCCUGGGCAGAGUAAUUUUUUACUUUCUAUCAUUUGCAGUAGUAUGUACUAAGCUCUUAAGUCAAGGUGUUUCUGAUGUUUAAGUACACUGCCUUUAGGCAUGGAGGAAGACUGGGAUGAUGCAACAGAUACUGUUCAUCAUUUCCCGAAGUGGUUUGAAUUCUUUUAAUAAGUUUUUUGCGCACACACGAAAAGCUUUUUGGACACACUAUAGUUGUCUUUUAAUAGAGAUGAUGGAGCCACUCUUCUCAGAAGUACAAGAUGAAAAGACUAGAGGCAACAGUCACAAGUUGCAACAAGGAAUAUUCCAAUUGUGAAAAAUGUAUUAAUUAUACUCAAUGAGCAUUAUUAAGUACUGGAGCAGGGCCCAAGAGGCUGUGGGAUCUCCAUUCUUGGAUAUCUUCAUAACUUGACUGGAACAAGGUCCAGAGCAUCUUGAGCUAGCUCCCUGCUUGGAGCAGGGGUCUGGACUACAGACCUCCAGAGGCCCCUUCCAGCUCUGCUCUCUUGUCAAUCUGUAGCUACUUCAGGAGCUCCCUGUACUGAUCUCCAGCAAAGCUCUGACAAAGGAGAACACAAAAUCUGACCUUGCUCAUCACAGGUGACAGUAAAAACAGAUUUUGGAGUUAUAGUCUUCAGUUGAAAGCCUCAGCAUUUAAUACCACUUUACAAAGUAAGUCAUAAGGCAGAAAUGUACAGGUACAGCCGAGUUAGAAGCGCAGACUGCCACUGAAUCCAGAAAGAGUAGGUUAUGAGAAUCCUGCUGAACACAUCCAGAUUUGCUCUGGUAAUAAGGUUUCCCACAAAUGCUGUUAAGUUGCAGGAUAGUUACACAAAACACAUUGAAAACAGAAGGAAAGUUAUAUUAACAACAAAGGUUUUUUCAAUUAGUGCAGAAGAACUCUUUCUCAGUAAUACUCCAAUGCUACCUUACUUUGCCCAGGGAUGAUAAAUGCAGCAGUCAUGCCUAUCUUUAAACUUUUCAGUAAUGCAGACUAUUGGAAGCAGUUUUGUUAUGAGAGCCUGAUGUGCUUUACAAGAGGUGGCUAAGACGGGCCUCUGCUAUAAUCUAGACAUGCAAAGGCAAGUAUAUUUUUACAAGUUAAAACAGUACGACAAUCACAGAACUGCACAGCAAAAAACGUAUCCAGUGCAGGGUUCCCAGAAUCUCUGUAUUGUAGUAAGCAAACACAUUACAAAACUGUAUUGCCUCCCAAUGUCAAAUUCCGCACACACAUCCCCCCAUCCCCACACAAAAAGAAAAAAAAAAGCCUCAGUUUAUCUUUAAGAUAAAGUUUAUCUUUAAUGUCCAACAGUACAAACAUGCCUAUUUGAUUUUUUUCUGUUUAGUACACCGAGCAAGCAAAAAGGAAAACUUUGUCUUUGACAGGUCUUAGCAGAAGGGUUAUCACUCUUUCCAGUCCAGAUCUCAUUCCCGCAACCCGUGCUUCCAUUUCUUUCCAUGCAGUUAAACGCUGCUGCCAGGCUAUUUUUCAUGUUUGUGCAUACUUGACUUUUGCAACCAGAGAAACGAUGUACAUAGUACAGCAUGUUUACCCUGUGCUUAUUUGCAUUGAGAAGGCUAAAGUUUAUCCUACAACAUUGUCUGCUGCCCUCACUUCCUAAAAUCAAGUCAGUUUUUUCUAUCAUCUUCAUCUGAGUACCUGUACAAAGAAAAUCUCAACACAGAAAAUUCUGGUUUAUACUCCUAGAAACAUGGCCAAAACACUGCAGAACAGCUCCUGCUCUGUACAGACCAAGGCUGGAGAUGUGCAGGCUGCUCAACACCCACACUCAGUGUCCUGUAAAGACACACCCAAAGGAAGGGGUAGAGGAUCUUGCUAAACAAGUUACCAUACCUGCAGCUUUCUGCACCAAGAUUUUUUCAUUGCGACUAGAACAGCAGGUCUUUGGGCCAUCAACAAGCACUCGAUUCAGCUGGACUUUCUUGAAGUCACUGGUGUAAAACCGAAUCAAAGCAAGCCUUCUUAAUUAUCAAUUCUUCUGCCCUUUGGUGCUAUAAUUAAGUCAGUGUAUGUAAAAUUAGAAGAGAAAGCUUGUAUACUGGUGGCAUGAGAAGUCUGUCAUCUUGUGAUGCAUCAUCUGAUGUUUGGAUUUACAUGAUAAUAACUUCAUUUUGCUCAGUGUUCUUGUGUCACAUCCCGUGGUGUCUCAUGACAGAGAACUCAGCAGUUGGCUCAUGUUUUGCCUGUACCAUUGUCUCUAACUUGCAUAAAAUCCCCUGGUUUAUAAGAACCUGAGUGAUACUGUUCACUUUUUUUUUCCCCCUUUUUUUUUUUUGUUUUUUAACCUCCUCUGUUUCUCUUGUGUGAUUCUCAGAACUGGAACCAAAAGUGAAUUAAGUUCAGACAGCAGAGUUUCUCCCAAACUAGCA
Molecule: long non-coding RNA, 5478 nt
Organism: Falco peregrinus (peregrine falcon)
Lineage: Eukaryota; Metazoa; Chordata; Aves; Falconiformes; Falconidae
Exons: 5
Source: RefSeq, a predicted model, not a curated record